This is a long non-coding RNA of Oryzias melastigma (Indian medaka), 628 nucleotides long. RefSeq lists it as uncharacterized. Lineage: Eukaryota; Metazoa; Chordata; Actinopteri; Beloniformes; Adrianichthyidae. The transcript has 3 exons. The record is from RefSeq and is a predicted model, not a curated record.
CAGGAAAAAAGAUACACAACUUGCAGCCAUAACCGCAAAGUGUUGGUAAACUGGCCACCUUUCCUUUGCCAUGUCUGGAAGUCCUCAGAAAAGGCGGCUAGUGUCGCCCCGCGCGGCUGCUCGGUCCUCCCUCCAUUGCAGACGGUGGUACUCACGCGGUGCCGUCGCCAUCGGUGGUCCUCCCGGUCUCCUUCUGUCCCCGGAGCGAGACUUGUGGAAAGGAGACACGACUCCACGCCUCGUGGGCGGGACACGAGGAAAAUGUCAGCGUCUGUGAUCGAAUGAGACCCUUCCUCCUUUGGUGAUGCGCACCAGCAAAAGGAAUUUUCUCCACACUGAGCUGGGAUCAUCACAGACUCACUCCGUCAGACUGCUGCUGGUGAAACUUCAAGCAAACAACUUCAAUUCACUGAAGAAACAACUGCCUGUAUUCAAGUCCACAUUAUAUAUCAUGCAUGACAUCAAAAAUAGCAUUUUUCACAUAAUUAGUUUCAUAGACAAACAGAUAAAUCCAAUUUUAGAUGUUUUACAGGCACAAAAGCACAACUGCUGCUCUGGGAGAGUGAAUAAAUCCAUACAUAAAAGAAAAAAUACAUAUAUAUAGAUAAAUAAACGUACAUGAAGAGCU